RNAcentral lists this ribosomal RNA (413 nucleotides) under uncultured Bacteroidota bacterium. Its description in RNAcentral is "bacterial SSU rRNA". It matches the Rfam family "Bacterial small subunit ribosomal RNA", at positions 39 to 440 of the family's 1533-position model. Lineage: Bacteria; Pseudomonadati; Bacteroidota. The record is from RNAcentral.
UGUUUGGGGAUCUCGGCAGGCCUUAUACGUGCAAAACGAACGGGGUUUAGUAGCAAUAUUAAAUCUAGUGGCGCACGGGUGCGUAACGCGUAUGCAACUUACCUUCAACUGGAGAAUAGCCCCUCGAAAGAGGGAUUAAUACUCCAUAGUAAUUAGAAAGGGCAUCCUUUUUAGUUUAAAGCUACGGCGGUUGAAGAUGGGCAUGCGUGACAUUAGUUAGUUGGUGAGGUAAUGGCUCACCAAGACUUCGAUGUCUAGGGGUUCUGAGAGGAUGAUCCCCCACACUGGUACUGAGACACGGACCAGACUCCUACGGGAGGCAGCAGUAAGGAAUAUUGGUCAAUGGACGAAAGUCUGAACCAGCCAUGCCGCGUGCAGGAUGACUGCCCUACGGGUUGUAAACUGCUUUUAUA